UUUUCAGAAAUGGAAGUAAUUAGGUUAGAGC
RNAcentral lists this non-coding RNA (31 nucleotides) under Rattus norvegicus (Norway rat). The record is from RNAcentral. Lineage: Eukaryota; Metazoa; Chordata; Mammalia; Rodentia; Muridae.